RNAcentral lists this unclassified non-coding RNA (334 nucleotides) under soil metagenome. RNAcentral describes it as "partial contains 5.8S ribosomal RNA, internal transcribed spacer 2, and large subunit ribosomal RNA". The stretch from base 1 to 120 matches the Rfam family "5.8S ribosomal RNA", at positions 35 to 154 of the family's 154-position model. The record is from RNAcentral.
GAUGAAGAACGCAGCGAAAUGCGAUAAGUAGUGUGAAUUGCAGAAUUCCGAGAAUCAUCGAAUCUUUGAACGCACAUUGCGCCCGCCAGCACUCUGGCGGGCAUGCCUGUUCGAGCGUCAUUUCAACCAUCAAGCCCCAGGCUUGCGUUGGAGCCCUGCGGCUGCCGCAGCCUCCUAAAAGCAGUGGCGGGCUCGCUAUCACACCGAGUGCAGUAGAUUACUCUUCGCUCAGGGCGUGCAGCGGGUUCCGGCCGUGAAACCCCCUACUUUUAAAGGUUGACCUCGGAUCAGGUAGGAAUACCCGCUGAACUUAAGCAUAUCAAUAAGCGGAGGA